AACGUAGUGUGCAAUCGUUAUUCGGAACUACCGGGCGUAAAGGGUGCGCAGGCGGUUGUGCAAGACUGAUGUGAAAUCCCCGGGCUUAACCUGGGAACUGCAUUUGUGACUGCACGGCUAGAGUGUGUCAGAGGGGGGUAGAAUUCCACGUGUAGCAGUGAAAUGCGUAGAUAUGUGGAGGAAUACCGAUGGCGAAGGCAGCCCCCUGGGAUAACACUGACGCUCAUGCACGAAAGCGUGGGGAGCAAACAGG
This 253-nucleotide unclassified non-coding RNA is filed under the name uncultured Gammaproteobacteria bacterium. RNAcentral's name for it is "contains 16S-23S intergenic spacer region". It matches the Rfam family "Bacterial small subunit ribosomal RNA", at positions 524 to 776 of the family's 1533-position model. Lineage: Bacteria; Pseudomonadati; Pseudomonadota; Gammaproteobacteria. The record is from RNAcentral.